RNAcentral lists this ribosomal RNA (481 nucleotides) under Fulvia undatopicta. RNAcentral's name for it is "partial 16S ribosomal RNA". It matches the Rfam family "Bacterial large subunit ribosomal RNA", at positions 1810 to 2608 of the family's 2925-position model. Lineage: Eukaryota; Metazoa; Mollusca; Bivalvia; Cardiida; Cardiidae. The record is from RNAcentral.
AAAACAUCUCCCCCAGAAAAUAUGGAUUGGGGGUAGUCCCUGCCCAGUGGGAAUAUUCCUAAACGGAAGGGAUAACUUUUAAAGUAGCGUAAUAACUUGUCCCUUAAUUAGGGUCUGAAUGAAAGGGUUGACGUUAGGUGACUGUCUUAAAAAAAUUGACUUAAAUUUUCUUUUUAGUGAAAAGCCUAAGAUAAAUAUAAAAGACGAGAAGACCCCGUCGAGCUUAAGAGAAUUUAAGAUAGAAAUUUCUUAUUUUCCAUUUUUGUUGGGGCAACAAAGGAGAAAGGUAAACCUCCUGUUUUUUAGAUCCACUUUUUGUGAUAAAAAGAAAAAGCUACCGCGGGGAUAACAGCGCAAGACGGCCUGAGAGUCCUUAUUUAAGGCUGUAAGUGCGACCUCGAUGUUGGAUUAAGGGUGGCUUAGGGGUUGUAGAAGCUCCUUUUGCGGGACUGUUCGUCCUUUAAAUCCUUACAUGAUCUGA